Molecule: ribosomal RNA, 344 nt
Filed under: Sabatieria celtica
Lineage: Eukaryota; Metazoa; Nematoda; Chromadorea; Araeolaimida; Comesomatidae
Also listed under: 2 other names
Description: SSU rRNA
Rfam family: Eukaryotic small subunit ribosomal RNA
Source: RNAcentral
CGCGAAUGGCUCAUUACAACAGCCGUCGUUUCUUGGAUCUCUCGAUCUACUUGGAUAACUGUGGUAAUUCUAGAGCUAAUACACGCCUUGAAGCUCUGACCUUCGGGGACGAGCGCAUUUAUUAGAACAAAACCAAUGGGGUUCGCCCCUCGGUUGGUGACUCUGAAUAACUACUCCGAUCGCACGGUCUCGCACCGGCGACGCAUCUUUCAAGUGUCUGCCUUAUCAACUGUCGAUGGUAGUUUAUGUGCCUACCAUGGUUGUAACGGGUAACGGAGAAUAAGGGUUCGACUCCGGAGAGGGAGCCCGAGAAACGGCUACCACAUCCAAGGAAGGCAGCAGGC